UAUUAUGAGAUUCUCGCAUGAGAAACUUAUGAAAGCUAUAUGCGCCAAGAGAGAGCCUUGCGUUCCAUUAGCUAGUUGGUGGGGUAACGGCCCACCAAGGCGACGAUGGAUAGCCGGCCUGAGAGGGUGAACGGCCACAAGGGGACUGAGACACGGCCCUUACUCCUACGGGAGGCAGCAGUGGGGAAUAUUGGACAAUGGGCCACAAGCCUGAUCCAGCAAUUCUGUGUGCACGAUGAAGGUCUUCGGAUUGUAAAGUGCUUUCAGUUGGGAAGAAGAAAGUGACGGUACCAACAGAAGAAGCGACGGCUAAAUACGUGCCAGCAGCCGCGGUAAUACGUAUGUCGCAUGCGUUAUCCGGAUUUAUUGGGCGUAAAAGCGCGUCUAGGCGGAAAAAUAAGUCUGAUGUUAAAAUGCGGGGCUUCAACUCCCGUAUUGCGUUGGAAACUGUUUUUUCUAGAGUACUGGAGAGGUGGGCGGAACU
Molecule: ribosomal RNA, 484 nt
Filed under: uncultured bacterium
Lineage: Bacteria
Description: bacterial SSU rRNA
Rfam family: Bacterial small subunit ribosomal RNA
Source: RNAcentral